Molecule: ribosomal RNA, 202 nt
Filed under: uncultured bacterium
Lineage: Bacteria
Description: partial 16S ribosomal RNA
Rfam family: Bacterial small subunit ribosomal RNA
Source: RNAcentral
UACAGAGGUCUCGAGCGUUGUUCGGAUUCAUUGGGCGUAAAGGGUGCGUAGGUGGCUAGGUAAGUCGGAUGUGAAAUCCCGGGCUCAACCCGGAACUGCAUUCGAUACUGCCUGGCUAGAGUACUGGAGAGGAGAUUGGAAUUUACGGUGUAGCAGUGAAAUGCGUAGAUAUCGUAAGGAAGACCAGUGGCGAAGGCCGGAU